Molecule: long non-coding RNA, 675 nt
Organism: Acanthochromis polyacanthus (spiny chromis)
Lineage: Eukaryota; Metazoa; Chordata; Actinopteri; Pomacentridae
Exons: 2
Source: RefSeq, a predicted model, not a curated record
GUGCAGUGUUCUGCUGGGGAACCUUGAUUCUUGGCAUCCAUGUAGAAGUUACAUUGACAUGUACCACCUACCUUCACAUUGGUGCUGACCAAGUACACACCCACCAGCCCUCCCAGACUGCCCUGGGCUCCUCUAACAGGACAACACACCCAACCACACAUCUGAAACUACUCAGGGAUUGCUUCGGGAACAAAACAAAGAGCUCAAAGCAUUGAUCCAACCUCCAAAUUCCCUAAAUCCCAAGUUGACUGAAGAUCAAUGGGAUGUGCCAGAACAAGCCUCAUCCACCCUCAAGACCCAAAGGAUCCACUGAGCCUACACAAUGUUAAACUAGUGGUUUUAAUGUUGUGAUUAACAGGUUCUGUACCACUUGUACCUUUCCACACUCUUACCUCUCGAACAGAGUAGGGCUCCACUGGCCAAGGCCACCUGCAGAGCCUGUGCCAGCCGGUCGAGAGCCAGCUGGGGCAAUACAUGUGUAUCAGCAGGCGAUGUGUGUGUGUGUUUGUCAGCCUGGUCCAACAAUCGGGAGAGAUCGGAGGUCAGAGCGGCCACAGACUCCAUCUGAAGCAGCGCCAGGCGACCGUAAAGCCCCUUCUCAUUGAGUAUGUUGGGCAAAAGCAUGAAGACCUAAAAGCAUCAAAAGAUGGAAAGCGAUUAAACAUUAACUCUGUA